UGGUGGAGCGAUUUGUCUGGUUAAUUCCGUUAACGAACGAGACCUCAGCCUGCAAACUAGCUAUGCGGAGGAAUCCCUUAGAGGGACUAUGGCCGUUUAGGCCACGGAAGUUUGAGGCAAUAACA
This 125-nucleotide ribosomal RNA is filed under the name uncultured eukaryote. RNAcentral describes it as "partial 18S ribosomal RNA". It matches the Rfam family "Eukaryotic small subunit ribosomal RNA", at positions 1299 to 1458 of the family's 1831-position model. The record is from RNAcentral.